GGUCACUUGGAGUUUGCUGGGUGCUGUGAGGAGGAAGGGACAGGAGGUUGUGUGAGGGACAGACAGGGUUAGGUGGCAGUGCCAGGGACAGGAAGGAGUGAGCUGGAACUGCAGAAGGAAGAGAGAAGAAGGAGAGAAAGAGCCAGAGCUGUGUGGAGCUGCCUGUGGGAGGCUGCACAGAAAAGGUGGACUCUGGGAGCUGUUUUAACCCGGCCAUGUUCACAGAAUCUGUUUGAACACCACACAAAUCUGCUGAAGAUGAACCCGUGCAGUACUUCCCUGUGUCCUUAUCUUCCUCCAGAAGAUGCUUCACUGGCAGAAGGACUCCUGGGUGCGGACCCAGUGUCUGGUCCUUUUCUCAGGCUGCAGCCUCCAGAGAGUGGAAAACUACAGGUUCUGUACAUACACUGACAAAGGAAGUGGGAAGAGUCCAACACCACAACAAGAGAAAGAGAAGUUAUGCAUCCGAGAAAGCUGUAGCUGAAGACCAGGCAACUGUAAAGGACAAAAGCCUCUGAAGACAAAAUGUGUGAUGAAAUCACUGACUUGAGAGAAGCCAGGGACCAGGAGGAGUCUGUGGUUAAACAGAUGUUAUAACUUACACACCAAAGUGAACUACAGCAAAUACUCGUGUGACAUUGCACAAGCUUCCAAAGAACUGACCUAAGUUUCAGCCCAGAAGAACAUAGAUUGAAUAAAUUUCUCCUGUAAGAACCUCUGCACAGGCAUCAAGGCAGCCAUCAAACAGAAGGGAGAGGAAACCAGCUGUACGCUCACAGGUCCUCUUCAGAAAGUUCUGCCGCAGUCCCCUGAGGAACGUCGUGCAGGAUGCUGUGCCAAGAAAAAUAGCACAGAGGUCUGAUGCUAGUGUAAUUAUCUGCUCGAACAACUGAUCCACUGUAGAUGUCAGCAUCCAGCUCAAAUGCAUUCUCUCACCUGCAGUAAAUAGCCUUGUUAAUGACCUCAUGAUGAGGAGACUCGCAGACAUACACCGAGUCAUUAAGUGAUUUGAUAAUGAGACACUGGAAUAAUUGCAUGUAGUUUGUGAAGGUCUUUGAUGUGACACUUCAGUCAGGAACAAGUAAACACAAGGGAACCAUCUAAAAAAAGAGAGAGUUGGUCAUCUUUUUUUUUUUUUUUUUUCCUCCUCAGAGAAGAGAUCAACAAAUAAAUUCAGUGAGAAAUCAGAAUCUGAACUCUCAAAGACAGAAUAAAAUGACUCAAUUUACAUAUCUUGGCAGUCAUAUCCUUCUGAAAACAUCACAGGCUGGCUAAGGCAGGGCAGGAUUUGGCAGCUUAAGAUUUGGUUUUGGGAAAUCUGCACUUUAAAGUGAAUCACUGAGUCGUUGGUAUUCCAUUUUAAUAAAUGUAUUUGAAGGUUUUAGGUCUUUAAAAGUGCAGGAGGAGAUCUAAAAACUGAAUUGCUACAAUAAAUUUCUAAGAAAUGCAGCGAUUCAGCUGUCAACAGCCCCUUAGGUUGGAAGAAAAGUUUAAGAGAAGAGGUUGGAAAACUGUUGAGAAAGAGUGUCUACUUUUAAAGUCUUCAGUAACUGAGUAAUUGCCAAAUUAUGCAAAAGAGACCAAGGAACUGAGAAUGCAUCUCCAGAGGUCCUAAUCAGAAAGUGGAAGAAAUACUCUUGGGACACUAGGAGCAAGGUUCAAUAUGGACAAACUUGGUGAAUACUUCUUUAUGGACAGUAAUAUCUAAUGCACUGAAUUCUAAAGUUGGCAAACACAGAGUUAUCUGCUUUUACAGAAAUACACCAAACCUCAGUGAGAACUAAAUUCUAUUCCAGGCAUCUCUGAUAUCCUGGGAACUGAAGAUUAAAUGUCUAUCUGACAGCAUGGAGAAAAACCUCAAACUCCAGCAGAACAACAUCCAGUCCCAGCUGCAAUAUCCUCAUCUUCUCCUGGCUUCUACGGGGAAGUUUAAAAUUUUCCAGAAUCUAAUGAAGUACAUGGCAGAAAUCUUAGGCAUUCUCUAGAAGGUUGUCCAAGAAAAACAAGAAAACUCUUGGAAAUAUUGUGCUUGUCAACACAAGCAGUGUAGCCAUGCCCAUCUGGCAUACACCUGUAUAGACCUUGACCAUGUCCAAGAAAAGCAGACGGAAGACAUCAAGCUCCUGCAAAAGCUUUUUUUAACAUGUUUUUUUGCUCCUGACUGCAGUGCUUGAGGGAACCAAGUAGAUCCACCCUUAAUGCCCUCUGUGGGGAGAGGACAUCCUUGAGGGAUUUGGUAUGAGAGGGUUCAUCCUGCAUCUUUAAAUAUGUUAGAGGUUGAUUAGGUGCUAAUGUUUUAAUGAGGAAAUCUACCGGUGUGACUCCUGGAAGAUGGCUGAGCUCCCUGCAGCUCCAACCAAGUCAUCUUGUUUUGUCUCCAGGUUACACUAACCACAGCUGGCACUCCAACAUAUGCAAUGGCUUUUCAUGGAUGCCAUCCUGAGUUUAGCGUUCAGAAAUCCUCUGAGUGAUCAAUGUAACAGCCGAGGACAUCUGUCUGAGACUGUCUUUAUCAGUGGUGUGUGUGACGCCUUCUACAUCAUAACAUGCUCUCAGGCAAGUUUCUGCAGGGCUUCUGUGUCAGGAUUUCUCAAAAAACCAAACCAAAACAACAGAAAACUUGUGACAAGGAGCAUAUUUUAGAGCGAUGCUAAACACAUCACCAGCCACUAGGACUCACAGAUUUAACGUGGCAGAACCACAAAAGGCACCCUGUGCUGUGGGUGAGGCUUCCCAUAGGUAGUAGGUUUUGCUGACAGCACUAGGAUAAUUUAUUUUCCAUUCUACUGUUCUCGAGAUCUGAGGGAGAUUUCAUCUUCAUUUCUGUGAAGAUCUGUCAGACCUGCUGAUCUUUGCUCCCGUAAAGGUGAGGUCAAUCUACACAGCUUAGUACUGCAAGCCCUUUGGCUGUUUUCUCUCUCUCUUUUUCUGGUUUCUUUUAAGGAUUCUCUUCACAGGAGGAAGUUAGUCAUCCUCUGUGUUUGGACCUUUGAUGGAGGCUCUUUUAAAGUACAGAGGUUUCAUUCCUGAUACUUCCAAAGAAGCCAAGGGCCUGCAGACACGUCCGUGAUUGCCGCUGUUUUACGCUAUUUGCGCUUUCAGAUUUUGGGCUCUGACGUCAGUCACGUUCUGUACAUUUCAUCCUUGUUCUGGUUUGUGCACCUGCAGGAUGUGAAGUGUCUGCCUUGCUGUUCCAAUCCCAUCAGUUCACCUUCUCCAGUGACUCAGUGCUCGAGAGGGAAAACUCAUCUGAACAGGACGAGUUCUAAUUCAGGAUCUCUGAACCACUUGGAGAGCUUGCUCAUACAUAAGUGUCUCUUAAAAACCUCAACCCUCGGCUGGUAUGGAGUUUUUCUUCUCCUUUCCUCAUGGAUUAAUUAGUCAUGAAGGUGGAAAAUAGCAUAUAAAUGCAAGUAACUAAUAAACAAGGGCUGAGAAGACAGCCCUUCACUUCGACAGGGUCCCUUCUGCAUUCCACCCCGAGAUAGCUCAGUACCUAUGCAUGUUUCUUUUAUUUGGCAGGAAUUUUUCAGACACUCCUAAAGACUGAGUCAUCAAGGAUCUUUGAGAAUUCCCUGGAACAGAACCACUUGAAAUAGAAGAGGUGUGACCCCAUGUGCUGUGUGAGAGAUGGCUUCCUUUUCUUUUGUACAUCACAAUUGUUGUACAUACCGAAUUCUGAGAAUCCUAAGGAAGUAAGGCUGGAAUUUCUCUAUUAUGAGACAAGAUACUUCUGGUAUUUUGCUCUGCUGGCAACUAAAAGCUAAUUGGUGGCUUUGCAUGCCUUACCAAAAAAUGUCUUCCAGAAAAACGGGAAAAUCUUGUACCUGGUCUCUUGUCUCUCGUUCUAUAGCAAAUUAGUUGUUGCUAGACUGAAGGUCUAAUGAGAGUUCUGUACUGUUCCAGAAGUUCACAGAAUUACAGAAUUAAUCACGGAAUCACAGAACGGUUUGGGUUGAAAAGGAGCUUGAAGAUCAUUCUGUUCCAUCCCCCUACCCUGGGCAGGGACACCUUCCACUUGAUCAGGUUGCUCAGGGCCCCAUCCAACCUGGCCUUGGACACUUCCAGGGAGCCACAGCUUCUCUGGGCACCCUGUGCCAGGGCCUCACCACACCCACAGGGAAGAAUUUCUUCCUAAUAUCCCACCUAAGCCUACUCUCUGUCAGUUUAAACCAUUCCCCCUUGUCCCACCACUGCAUCUCCUGGCAAAAACUCCCUCUCCAUAUUGCUCAUUCCUUCUUGAGAGCACCAUGCAAGAGUGCAAAUGCAAUCAUGGUUGACAUUCUCUGACCAAUACAAAGGUAAUGAUCAUAUCUGGCUUCAAACAUUGAAACCAUUAAUGGAUUUAAAAGGGAUGAGAUUAAAGCAUUCCAUCCUUCACGAAGAACAUUCUGUGAUUGCUGUUACCAGUUACUGGGCUAUGGUAAAUUGUUUAGAGACCUUAAUUUCAUAUAUUUCUCACAGUUUUCAAGAAAGGGGAAAAAGGGACGUUGUAUGCUCAUUUCACAAAAGGUACAUUUCUAGAGAAAAAGGAAAGUAUAAGUGGAAGACACAAAAAUUUGAGUAUCUGAAAAGAAUAAAAUGAAUGGGUUUCAUCGAAGGCAAAAAUUAAACCCAAAGGGAAGACUGGGUAAAUUACUUUGACCUGGGAAAUCUUUAGUACAGGGGCUGUUUUUAUUGUUCUUUCCUGUGUCUGGCAUAAUGUGAACCCAUUACAGCAGCUCCCCAGUUCUCCCAUACUUCAAAUAAAAUAAAAGUAAUUACAGUCAAAAAGAGUUCUGUCAGGCUGUCACUGUAGAUAAGAGCAUGUAGGGAUAAGGUAAUCACAGUGGUCAAACAGGUAAAUAUUAAAACUGAUG
Long non-coding RNA from Hirundo rustica (Barn swallow), 4859 nucleotides. RefSeq lists it as uncharacterized. The record is from RefSeq and is a predicted model, not a curated record. The transcript has 4 exons. NCBI's taxonomy places the organism in Eukaryota, Metazoa, Chordata, Aves, Passeriformes, Hirundinidae.